UACGUAGGGGGCAAGCGUUGUCCGGAAUCAUUGGGCGUAAAGCGCGUGUAGGCGGCUCGGUAAGUCUGCUGUGAAAGUCCAGGGCUCAACCCUGGGAUGCCGGUGGAUACUGUCGAGCUCGAGUCCGGAAGAGGCGAGUGGAAUUCCUGGUGUAGCGGUGAAAUGCGCAGAUAUCAGGAGGAACACCGAUGGCGAAGGCAGCUCGCUGGGACGUUACUGACGCUGAGACGCGAAAGCGUGGGGAGCAAACAGG
RNAcentral lists this ribosomal RNA (253 nucleotides) under uncultured bacterium. RNAcentral's name for it is "partial 16S ribosomal RNA". It matches the Rfam family "Bacterial small subunit ribosomal RNA", at positions 524 to 776 of the family's 1533-position model. The record is from RNAcentral.